AUAUUGCGCAAUGGAGGGAACUCUGACGCUGCUACGCCGCUUGAGCGAUGAAGGUCUUCGGAUCGUAAAGCUCUGUCCUUGAGGAAGAAGGGAACCGUAACGCCUCCUGACGGUACCUAUGGAGGAAGCCUCUGCUAACUACGUACCAGCAGCCGCUGUAAUACGUAGGGGGCAAGCGUAGUCCGGAAAUAUUGUGCGUAAAGGGUGCGUAGGCGGCCCUUUAAGUCAGAUGUGAAAGCCCACGGCUUAACCGUGAGACUGCAUUUGAAACUGAAGGGCUUGAGUGUCGGAGAGAGCAGUGGAAUUCCCAGUGUAGCGGUGGAAUGCGUAGAUAUUGGGAGGAACACCAGUGGCGAAGGCGACUGCCUAGACGAUAACUGACGCUGAGGCACGAAAGCUAGGGGAGCAAAC
This 411-nucleotide ribosomal RNA is filed under the name uncultured bacterium. RNAcentral describes it as "partial 16S ribosomal RNA". It matches the Rfam family "Bacterial small subunit ribosomal RNA", at positions 361 to 773 of the family's 1533-position model. The record is from RNAcentral.